UGGCUCAGGAUGAACGCUGGCGGCGUGCCUAAUACAUGCAAGUUGAGCGCUGAAGGUUGGUACUUGUACCGACUGGAUGAGCAGCGAACGGGUGAGUAACGCGUGGGGAAUCUGCCUUUGAGCGGGGGACAACAUUUGGAAACGAAUGCUAAUACCGCAUAAAAACUUUAAACACAAGUUUUAAGUUUGAAAGAUGCAAUUGCAUCACUCAAAGAUGAUCCCGCGUUGUAUUAGCUAGUUGGUGAGGUAAAGGCUCACCAAGGCGAUGAUACAUAGCCGACCUGAGAGGGUGAUCGGCCACAUUGGGACUGAGACACGGCCCAAACUCCUACGGGAGGCAGCAGUGGGGAAUA
Molecule: ribosomal RNA, 353 nt
Filed under: uncultured rumen bacterium
Lineage: Bacteria
Description: bacterial SSU rRNA
Rfam family: Bacterial small subunit ribosomal RNA
Source: RNAcentral